RNAcentral lists this ribosomal RNA (466 nucleotides) under uncultured bacterium. RNAcentral describes it as "partial 16S ribosomal RNA". It matches the Rfam family "Bacterial small subunit ribosomal RNA", at positions 28 to 507 of the family's 1533-position model. The record is from RNAcentral.
GACGAACGCUGGCGGUGUGCUUAACACAUGCCAGUCGAACGGUAAGGCCCUUUCGGGGGUACACGAGUGGCGAACGGGUGAGUAACACGUGAGUAACCUGCCCUCAUCUCUGGGAUAACAGUCGGAAACGGUUGCUAAUACUGGAUAUGAGCUUGCAAGGCAUCUUGUGGGUUGGAAAGAUUUUUUUGGUUGGGGAUGGACUCGCGGCCUAUCAGCUUGUUGGUGAGGUAGUGGCUCACCAAGGCUUCGACGGGUAGCCGGCCUGAGAGGGCGACCGGCCACAUUGGGGCUGAGAUACGGCCCAAACUCCUACGGGAGGCAGCAGUGGGGAAUAUUGCACAAUGGACGGAAGUCUGAUGCAGCAACGCCGCGUGCGGGAUGACGGCCUUCGGGUUGUAAACCGCUUUCAAUUGUGACGAAGCUUUUUGUGACGGUAGCAGUAGAAGAAGCACCGGCUAACUACGUG